Molecule: long non-coding RNA, 852 nt
Filed under: Androctonus crassicauda
Lineage: Eukaryota; Metazoa; Arthropoda; Arachnida; Scorpiones; Buthidae
Source: RNAcentral
UAUACUGUAUAUACGUAUAUAUAUAUGAAUAGGCUAGUUUCGAUCGGGAUGAAAGAAGAUUUUGUGACGUCAAGAUCAAGAUCGAUAUUUCUGAAAAACGUUGCAAUCUAGCUUAGGAACGAUGACGUCAACAGGGUGGCGUCCAAUCGGAGGUCUGGAGUUCCGGCUAUAUAAAAAGGCGUGUUUCGCCACAGCGCUUCACUAGCCGUUCGUGGAAGGAAUCGUCGCUUGGUUGUCGCCACGAGCUUAUAUUCUCUCUCUCGUCUAUUCUCUCCGUAUCCAACAGAUCAAAAUGGUGAGUAGCCCGUCUGAUAUCUUCGGUUUUUACCGAAUUUUUCCAUAUAUUGUUGUCCCGUCUCCACUUUUAGUAUUAGAGUUAACGUUAAUUCUACUGCAGUUGUCUGGACCUCGCCCACGCUGACGUGGCCGAUGGUUGUCGACAUAAAAGUCAUUGUUUCGAAUUAUUUAUUGACUUUUAAAGUCAGAUCUACGUUAAAAUUGCUUCCAUAUAUCGUUUUUUAAAAUUUCUUCUAACGUUUUUUUAAUUUUAAAAAGAAGAAAAAGGCAGUGGCCCUUGUCUAGUCAGCGCCAGACAGAUGAGUCAUCGGGAUGCGGAUGACCGGCUUUACCAUAUUUGUUCUGUUGCCUGCAUUCCGUCGAGCGUCACUGGGCUGUCGACCUAUCGUUACUGAAUGCGUGAAGAAGAAGAAAAAAAGAAAAAAAUGCUCGUUUAGCAUAAUUUUUUUUUUCCAGAUAAAAUACUCUUCCAGAUCUUCUUCGAUACUCCUGCAUAAAUACGUGGAAAUAAUUAUUAAACCGGAUGUUGCGCAUUUCCGGCUGACGAAUGCAGAC